UGGGGAAUAUUGCACAAUGGGCGCAAGCCUGAUGCAGCCAUGCCGCGUGUAUGAAGAAGGCCUUCGGGUUGUAAAGUACUUUCAGUCGGGAGGAAGGUGGUAAGGUUAAUAACCUUGGCAAUUGACGUUACCGACAGAAGAAGCACCGGCUAACUCCGUGCCAGCAGCCGCGGUAAUACGGAGGGUGCAAGCGUUAAUCGGAAUUACUGGGCGUAAAGCGCACGCAGGCGGUUGAUUGAGUCAGAUGUGAAAUCCCCGGGCUUAACCCGGGAAUUGCAUCUGAUACUGGUCAGCUAGAGUCUUGUAGAGGGGGGUAGAAUUCCAGGUGUAGCGGUGAAAUGCGUAGAGAUGUGGAGGAAUACCGGUGGCGAAGGCGGCCCCCUGGACAAAGACUGACGCUCAGGUGCGAAAGCGUGGGGAGCAAACAGG
This 429-nucleotide ribosomal RNA is filed under the name Chloroflexota bacterium. Its description in RNAcentral is "Chloroflexi bacterium partial 16S ribosomal RNA". It matches the Rfam family "Bacterial small subunit ribosomal RNA", at positions 355 to 776 of the family's 1533-position model. Lineage: Bacteria; Bacillati; Chloroflexota. The record is from RNAcentral.